This 526-nucleotide ribosomal RNA is filed under the name uncultured bacterium. Its description in RNAcentral is "bacterial SSU rRNA". It matches the Rfam family "Bacterial small subunit ribosomal RNA", at positions 984 to 1509 of the family's 1533-position model. The record is from RNAcentral.
ACAUCCAGAGAACUUAGCAGAGAUGCUUUUGGUGCCUUCGGGAACUCUGAGACAGGUGCUGCAUGGCUGUCGUCAGCUCGUGUUGUGAAAUGUUGGGUUAAGUCCCGNAACGAGCGCAACCCCUAUCCUUUGUUGCCAGCGAUUCGGUCGGGAACUCAAAGGAGACUGCCGGUGAUAAACCGGAGGAAGGUGGGGAUGACGUCAAGUCAUCAUGGCCCUUACGAGUAGGGCUACACACGUGCUACAAUGGCGCAUACAAAGAGAAGCGACCUCGCGAGAGCAAGCGGACCUCAUAAAGUGCGUCGUAGUCCGGAUUGGAGUCUGCAACUCGACUCCAUGAAGUCGGAAUCGCUAGUAAUCGUAGAUCAGAAUGCUACGGUAAAUACGUUCCCGGGCCUUGUACACACCGCCCGUCACACCAUGGGAGUGGGUUGCAAAAGAAGUAGAUAGCUUAACCUUCGGGAGGGCGUUUACCACUUUGUGAUUCAUGACUGGGGUGAAGUCGUAACAAGGUAAGCGUAGCGAG